RNAcentral lists this long non-coding RNA (1592 nucleotides) under Mus musculus (house mouse). RNAcentral describes it as "long non-coding RNA chr12:70885317-70886909". The record is from RNAcentral. Lineage: Eukaryota; Metazoa; Chordata; Mammalia; Rodentia; Muridae.
UGGGGAUCUGGGCAGCUGUACUGGUCAUGGGCCAUCUCUUGAAUAAGGGAGACACUGCACUGUGAAGGCCAGAGGGGUCCAUGCAGUAACUAACAGUCCUGACACGGCAAGGCAGGACGCCUGUGACAUCAGCAAGUGUUCAGAACGUAUCGCUGCUAUUGCUUUAUUUGCUAGUUUAAAGAAAUCUGAUUAGAAAUUAAUCUUUCAAUAAAACUGAUGUGUACAAAUUAAUCUUUUUGAAAAAAGAAAAAGAAAAUUUGCUUAGUAUAUAGUUCUGCAUUGUAUAGAAAAUAUCUGCUUUAAAAAGACAUUUAACAAAAGCUGUAACUGAAGCGGGGAGAUGAGUUACUGGUACCUGACAGACACCGCCCACUUGGAGAAGUCAAACCGUUGCAUCUGACUCACAUACGGGCAGCUCAUAAGGGGAAGCAGACCGUUCUGAAGGAAGCACCUUUUGCCUGGUUUCCCAUACACGUCUCAGACGUGAACUACAGCACUGCCUUGGCCCCAGGCUUACUUCAGAAAGCGUGGACAUCGCCUGGGGAGGGAACCUGCCCUGAGUGUGUGCUGAUGGAGCAGGCUCCGUUGAGCCCAGCACUGCAUGUGCCUUUCCAUGCCAGAGACAGGCCAGGCAAGACCAUGCUUUCUAAUGCUUCUUCCUGUGAUCCUGAGAAAACUGGCCUUAAACUUAAUAAAGACCCAGGGGCUGGAGAGGUGGCUCAGUGCUUUGGGGUACUUGUUGCGCUUUCUCAGGACAUGGGUUCUAUGCCUGCCAUCCAAGCAGUGGCUCACAGCCAUCAUUACUCCAGUUCCAGGGCGUCUAACACCCACUUCAGCUUCUGCCAGCCCUGAGUACAUGGGUGGUGCACAGACAUACAGCCAGGGAAAAUACCCAGGCAUAUAAGAUAAGCCAAAGCAUCCUUUGAAUUUAAUAAAGAUUUGACAAUAUUCAUCUAUUGUCUUAUAAUAUCUGGUAAAAAAAAAGAAUAUUUAUUAGUAACUUUUAAGGCUUCAUGCCUUACUCAUUACACAUAAGUCCUUGAAGAUUGGCCAAAUCUGAGCACGUUUUUUAAUUGUACUGUUUUUUCCUUACAGUUAAAAUGGCUUAAGGUUUAUCAUUUAUAUACACAUAUACAUACACAACGGAAUGUAUAUCAUAUCAGCAAUUAGUAAAAUAGCACUAUCAACCUUCUGAGGGAGAGCCCUCGGUGUUUGGUCACUUGUCUGUCCUUUUUGAAUCACAGAUAGGGAGCUAGGAAAGCUACAGGAUUUGAAAACCAUAAAGUCAGACGCAGCUCAGACUGUAACUGGACAUUGCCCUGACAUUCUAACAUCCACACAUUCAUUAAGCACGGGGAAGGUAAGAACGUUCACAUGGCGAGGGCAGCGUGCAGUGCCCAUGUGCUGGAGCUCUCAGAGAAAUGUGUACCUAGAGUAGUCUCAGAAGUGUGCAUACAGCGCUGAACUCUAAACCUGAAGUCUAAGGUGUCUGCAGGAGAGGAUGCAGCUGGGUUAGCAAAUACUCAAGAUUUUUCUUAAGUCUUUCAGGAAACAAAGACUGUGGAAAGAUUUGAUAAGUUAUUUUAAGUAAA